CGGAUUUCCAACUCACAAAGUGGAAGCAACCUCACAAAGGGAUUCCAGGGGCUACAGUACACUCUGCACUCUUUAUUUUACCCAAAUUUGUUCCUCAGCUGGAGCGUGGUCAGCUCAGAGGCGACGUCACUCCCAGCACGUGCCGCGCGCUAAAGUGUCCUCCUGAGUCACAAGACACCGCUACAUGCAGUGCCCUAUAAGAUGCCCUUCCCAUCUUCUGUUAUGAAGUUCCCUGCUGUCCCUACAUGACAGUGUCCCAAAGGAUGUCCUUAGAGGAAAUGAUAUUCAGUGGCAUCUCGGUGAUAG
This is a long non-coding RNA of Solea solea (common sole), 306 nucleotides long. RefSeq lists it as uncharacterized. The record is from RefSeq and is a predicted model, not a curated record. NCBI's taxonomy places the organism in Eukaryota, Metazoa, Chordata, Actinopteri, Pleuronectiformes, Soleidae. The transcript is spliced from 3 exons.